This is a long non-coding RNA of Epinephelus fuscoguttatus (brown-marbled grouper), 2374 nucleotides long. RefSeq lists it as uncharacterized. The transcript is spliced from 2 exons. NCBI's taxonomy places the organism in Eukaryota, Metazoa, Chordata, Actinopteri, Perciformes, Serranidae. The record is from RefSeq and is a predicted model, not a curated record.
AAGUUUUCAGUCUAUUCAUCUGACUUCAUUUUUAUUGCAGCAAAAUGUGAUGCAAAGCAGGCAGACUGACCAACACUGUCAUAAAAACCUGUCAGAAAUGCUGCAUACACCUGACAAACUAAGCUGUUAGCAGUUUUAACACUUUCUGCAAGGCCACAUUAAGCAUGUGAGUGAGACAUUAAACAUGCAGGUAUCCAGCUGGUGUGACUUUCAUGUACUGCUUGCGGACUGUUAUUUUCUUAGCUCUCAGAGCUGGAUGGUAAUUUUUUCAAGCUAAGUAUAUCCAGUCUUAGUUGAUUUUUUUUUUUUUUUUUUUGCGGAGCGGGUUUAGAGUUAGCUUGGUCGUCAACAGCUAAUGCUAUCUCUGGAUAGUGGCGUGUAAGGUGAGCCCUCGUGUUUGUAGUAUUUUAUUCUCAUAUGACACAGCAUGUGUCAUAUCUAAGUCCGCCUUUCCCUCUGUGUUAAAAAUCCAAAAUAACUCCCGACAUCUGAUUUUGAAUGCUGAUGGUGCGUUUCUGAUUACUUUCUCCAGUGCCUUUGUCUUUGUGCCGGUGGCUUAGUGGUAGAGCAGGCGCCCCGUGUACAAGGCUGUUGCAGCAGCGGCCCAGGUUUGACUCCAGCCUGUGGCCCUUUGCUGCAUGUCACUCCUCCCCUCUCUCCCCUUUCAUGCUUAUCUGUCCUAUCCAUUAAAGGCUAAAAAGCCCCAAAAAAUAUCUUUAAAGAAAAAGAAAGAAGAGGUGACCACUGUGGAGCAGGAAGUAGCAAAGAUUAGUAAGGAUGAAGUGAGGAGGGCAUUGAAGAGGAUGAAGAGUGGAAAGGUAGUUGGUCCUGAUAAUAUACCUGUGGAAGUAUAGGAUAUAUAGGAUAGGAUCAGGAAUGAGUACAUUAGGGGGACAGCUCAUGUUAGAUGUUUUGGAGAUAAAGUCCGAGAGGCCAGACUGAGAUGGUUUGGACGUGUUCAGAGGAGGGAUAGUGAAUAUAUCGGUAGAAGGAUGCUGAGGUUGGAACUGCCAGGCAAGAGGCCUAGGGCAAGACCAAAGAGGAGCUUUAUGGAUGUAGUGAAAGAGGACAUGAAGUCAGUUGGUGUGAGACAAGAGGAUGCAGAGGAUAGGUUCAGAUGGAGGCAGAUGAUAUGCUGUGGCGACCCCUAAGGGGAACAGCAGAAAGAAGAAGAUCUUAUUUGCAAACGUGUCUUGUAGGGUUGCUCGAUUAUGUAAACGAUCAUAAUCACAAUUAUUUUGGUCAAAAUUGAUAUCACGAUUAUGCAAACGAUUAUGCGGCACACGACUGAUAUUGUUUACACGACGGCGUGUCAUUUCUGUCUCUGUAUGGUCGCAUGUUUACAAUUCUCCUCUGCUCUCUGCGGAGUUCGGCCCUGAUGGGCACAGACCAUAGACUGUAUAAAAUAGUGGACGUAGUCACCGUGACGUCAUCCGCCCGUUUCUGAAGAGUGGAUUUGAAGCUCAAAACACUCCGCUCUGGACGUCGCCAUCUUGGCAGUGCCUGACUCCGCCCAACUCCCGGACAAUCAAAAAUGGGCAAAGAGGUGGGCCAAAGAAAGCCUGGUUGCCUAAACACGCCCACCUCACUCGGCGCUGCUAAGUUAGCUAAGGCUAAGAAGCUACGGGGCUAAGAAGCUACGCUACUUUGGCUAGCCCUGUGGUGUUGGCUGCUCCCUUGGUGCCAGCUCCCUCACGAAACUUGAGUGUGGAUCAUUGGUGACAGCUAUGUCCGGCGUGGUGUCCAGAGAGCUGCAGAGACCUUGGGAAGCACCCUCAGCAUGCCGGGCAUCCGCGUCUGCUGGUUUGGCUGACUGCAGUGGGGAGGCCUUCUCUCCUUCUUUUCGCACUCCCUGUGAGGAAGAGCAGCACCAGAUGUCCUCAUCAUCCACUGUGGCGGCAAUGGCAUGGUGAAGGUCAGCAGUGUCAAGCUGGUCAGCAUGAUGAAGGAGGACCUGCACCAGCUUCACCUCCAGCAUCCUGGCAUUAAGAUAAUAUUUUCUUCACUGGCCCAAAGGUGCAGGUGGGAGGCUGGUGGCAAUCCAGCAAAGAUUGAUAAGGCCAGGAAAUGUGUGUUAUGGCUACAUUUGUUCAUAGUUUAAAUGGUGCCAUAAUUGAGCACCCUAACAUCAGACACAUUCAUCUCACACCUAGGGGAAAUUAUAUGUUUUUAAGUAAAUUAGUUAAUUGUCUUAAAGACCACCUCCAAACGCAGUGAACUGCUUACAGUUGGCAGUGUUACUGCUUUUGAAUUUGGCCUUUAGGACACAUUUUGUUAGGCCUGAUCAUAGCCCAGGCUGUCAUGGCUAAUGUUGAGUUUUUGAUAUUCAUCUAUAACUUGUUUAAAAUUUCAAUAAAUUCUAUUUACAUUUGCA